Molecule: ribosomal RNA, 730 nt
Filed under: uncultured marine eukaryote
Lineage: Eukaryota
Description: SSU rRNA
Rfam family: Eukaryotic small subunit ribosomal RNA
Source: RNAcentral
CGACACGGGGAGGUAGUGACAAUAAAUAACAAUAUAGGGCUCUUUUGGGUCUUAUAAUUGGAAUGAGUACAAUUUAAAUCCCUUAACGAGGAUCAAUUGGAGGGCAAGUCUGGUGCCAGCAGCCGCGGUAAUUCCAGCUCCAAUAGCGUAUAUUAAAGUUGUUGCCGUUAAAAAGCUCGUAGUCGAACUUCGGCCUCUGCCACCCGGUCCGCCUAUUUGGGUGUGUACUGGAGUGGUGGAGGCUUACCUCGUGGUGAGCGGCCAUGUCCUUCACUGGGCGUGGUCGGGAACCAUGACUUUUACUUUGAAAAAAUUAGAGUGUUCAAAGCAGGCUUACGCCCGAAUACAUUAGCAUGGAAUAAUAAAAUAGGACGUGCGGUCCUAUUUUGUUGGUUUCUAGGAUCGCCGUACUGAUUAAUAGGGAUAGUUGGGGGCAUUCGUAUUCAAUUGCUAGAGGUGAAAUUCUUGGAUUUAUUGAAGACGAACUACUGCGAAAGCAUUUGCCAAGGAUGUUUUCAUUGAUCAAGAACGAAGGUUAGGGGAUCGAAAACGAUCAGAUACCGUUGUAGUCUUAACAGUAAACGAUGCCGACUAGGGAUCGGACGAGGAUUUUUAAUGACUCGUUCGGCACCUGAAGAGAAAUCUUUAAGUCUAGGUUCGGGGGGGAGUAUGGUCGCAAGGCUGAAACUUAAAGGAAUUGACGGAAGGGCACCACCAGGUGUGGAGCCUG